This 2027-nucleotide long non-coding RNA is filed under the name Salmo salar (Atlantic salmon). Its description in RNAcentral is "lncRNA (ENSSSAG00000094140.1)". The record is from RNAcentral. Lineage: Eukaryota; Metazoa; Chordata; Actinopteri; Salmoniformes; Salmonidae.
ACCUAAUAAACCUGCAUGGAGAUCUGGGAGGAUUUGUCAGGUGUAAUCAAUAUUGUAAUAGCAAUGUGGAAGUUUCACCAUUAUGUUUGACAUUUGUGAUUUAGCAGAUGCUGUUAUCCAGAGAAAUUUACAGGAGCGUUUAGGGUUCAGUACCUUGCUCAAAGGCACGUCGACAGAUUUUUCACCUCGUCGGCUCGGAGAUUGGAAACCAGCAAGCUUUCAGUUACUGUCCCAACGGUCUUAACCACUAGGCCCCCCCCCCUACCAUGUUGAUUACACCUCUCCAAUCCCAGAAAGUGUGUAGGGUGUAGGGCUCUGUUUGGGAUAGGGCCAUAAACUCACUCAAGAGAAAUGACCAGACAACAGACAACAUCAGUUAAAUCACUGUUAGUCUUUUAUUGAGGGUUGUACCCAAGUUAUACAGCUUUGUGUUCCGACACUACGGCCAGAAGGUUUACAAACAGUUAUCAAUCUGUCUAGCGCUCGGUCCGUCGGCCCUGGAGACCAACCACCUUAUAACACUACACCUUUAGUACACAUUCUCUUAAGAGCACUAAAAUAAUCACAAAAAAAAGGGAAAAAAAAAAAAUAUAUAUAUCAUUAUUAUUAUUAUGAAAUAAAAACAAUGACAACAGAACAACAGCAUCAUGGUGGUCGUCGUGGUGACGAUGGGAGGAGACAUGGAUGACAGUGGGAGGAGCAGGCUGGAGUUUCUACCCCAAGGUAGCACGUCACAUCAGGCCUCUGUUACCAAAUAAGGAUUGUCCUUCAGAAAGUGCAGUUCCCCCCCCCCCUCCCCCGAAGAAACCACCCUGCCCCCCCCCAUCCUCCUGUCAGGAAGACACAACGCCAAAACACCCUCCCUGUAACUUUAAAGUAAGUCUUUAUUAUUAGUAAAUAUUAUAGACGUUGGGUUGUUUUCUCUGUACAUCGUUUCUUAUCAGCCUCCCGAAGCAAUGUGCAUAUUAGGUUCACAGGUCAGGAGAAUAUUCUACUCUGCAGCUCGAGGUCUGAGACUUCCAGCUGAUAGAAUUCUCAGUGAUAGAACGUCUCUAUAAAGGAGAGGAGAGGCUUCUAGAAUUCUCAGUGAUAGAACGUCUCUAUAAAGGAGAGGAGAGGCUUCUAGAAUUCUCAGUGAUAGAACGUCUCUAUAAAGAAGAGGCUUCUAGCUUCUAGAAUUCUCAGUGAUAGAACGUCUCUAUAAAGGAGAGGAGAGGCUUCUAGAAUUCUCAGUGAUAGAACGUCUCUAUAAAGAAGAGGCUUCUAGCUUCUAGAAUUCUCAGUGAUAGAACGUCUCUAUAAAGAAGAGGCUUCUAGCUUCUAGAAUUCUCAGUGAUAGAACGUCUCUAUAAAGGAGAGGCUUCUAGAAUUCUCAGUGAUAGAACGUCUCUAUAAAGGAGAGGCUUCUAGCUGAUAGAAUUCUCAGUGAUAGAACGUCUCUAUAAAGGAGAGGAGAGGCUUCUAGAAUUCUCAGUGAUAGAACGUCUCUAUAAAGGAGAGGAGAGGCUUCUAGAAUUCUCAGUGAUAGAACGUCUCUAUAAAGGAGAGGCUUCUAGAAUUCUCAGUGAUAGAACGUCUCUAUAAAGGAGAGGCUUCUAGCUUCUAGAAUUCUCAGUGAUAGAAUGUCUCUAUCAAAAGCAGCAGUAAAUCUAUGGUUCCAGCAGUCCUCAUCUGUGUCCCAACAGAAACCAGCGGGGGGGGGGGAGGACUUUGUAAAUCUAACCUUCUGCGUGUGGCUGGUUGGUUGGCUAGUAGGUAGAAAAGGUGAUGGCACACAUGUUUUUAGGAAUACUGUGAGCCCUGGCUGCACCGUAGUCCCUACGUAGGGCAAUCCCUGUCUAUGAGUCCCUGGUUAUAAGUAGUGCACUGACAUAGGAGACCAGUGUCUUGUCUGGAACACUGCUCAGGUCUCCACUGUGGACUGGGCUUUAGAUAGAAACCCCAAAUGGACAUGGAAGGCUGGAUAACACCAUUGCAUAGUCUCUUUGUGCACCCCACUCCCCUCGUUACCCUCCCUAAUCCUCCCC